CCUGUUGUUCUAUGAACAGAAGCUUACUGGUACACGCAAUGGUAGCUAUAAGGACAAUAUACUUGACUCGAAAUGGACUCGAAAUCGUGAAAGGAAGAUUAGACUAUUAGUAUCAUGUGGUCAGAAGC
Non-coding RNA from Orientia tsutsugamushi str. Ikeda, 128 nucleotides. NCBI's taxonomy places the organism in Bacteria, Pseudomonadati, Pseudomonadota, Alphaproteobacteria, Rickettsiales, Rickettsiaceae. The record is from Rfam.